RNAcentral lists this unclassified non-coding RNA (239 nucleotides) under air metagenome. RNAcentral describes it as "partial contains small subunit ribosomal RNA, internal transcribed spacer 1, and 5.8S ribosomal RNA". The stretch from base 1 to 46 matches the Rfam family "Eukaryotic small subunit ribosomal RNA", at positions 1786 to 1831 of the family's 1831-position model. The record is from RNAcentral.
AAGUCGUAACAAGGUUUCCGUAGGUGAACCUGCGGAAGGAUCAUUAUAGAAAUGCCCCUCUGUUCGCAUGGGUUAUUUUCAAAACCGUGUCUACUUUACCUUUGUUGCUUUGGCGGGCCGCCUUUAGGCGUUGGCUAAUGCUAACUGUGCCCGCCAGAGGAUCCAAAAACUCGUUUGUUUAGUGAUGUCUGAGUACUAUAUAAUAGUUAAAACUUUCAACAACGGAUCUCUUGGUUCUG